Mobula hypostoma (lesser devil ray) is the source of this 632-nucleotide long non-coding RNA. RefSeq lists it as uncharacterized. The transcript is spliced from 3 exons. The record is from RefSeq and is a predicted model, not a curated record. NCBI's taxonomy places the organism in Eukaryota, Metazoa, Chordata, Chondrichthyes, Myliobatiformes, Myliobatidae.
CUGCUUUCGGCGGCAGGCCGAUUCGCUACAUAAAAACUGAUCAAAAUUGCAAUCGGAUUUGGAGGAGAAUUGACUGCACUUUUUUAAAAAAAAUAGACGAUGCUUGGUACAAUUCAAUGGCGACCAUACCGCUAUUCAGCUUUCUAGUUGGCGUGCUUCAUAAAUGGUGUGUUGGAAGGAUAUUUAGCCGUGAAAGCCAUCGUAGCUGAGCCCCCUGCAAAUGCAAGUUUUCCAAUAGGCUAGUGCUCAGAGUAGGGAAUUCCAUGCUCAACGCUGCUGAGGUGUUAAGGUGAUCCAGGCUGCGUGAAGAGCCAAUGAGAUUACAUCCGCCAUGCACCCAUUGUGGUUGUAGGCAAAUCGCAGUGGGUCCAGGUCCUUGCUGAGCCAGGAGUUCAUUCUAGCCAUAAUCAACCUCUCAAAGCAUUUCAUCACAGUAGAUGUGAGUGCUACUGGAUGAUGGUAAGGCAGCUCACACUGCUGUUCUUGGACACUGGUAUAAUAGUUGCCUUUUUGAAGCAGGUAGGAACUUCUGACUGUAGCAAUGAGAGACAGAAAAAGUCGUUGAACACACCCACCAGUGUAGCACUUCUUAUGCUUGUCUGCACUAUCAAAGAAUAAGAAACAAUAAACUU